RNAcentral lists this ribosomal RNA (464 nucleotides) under Vreelandella stevensii. RNAcentral's name for it is "partial 16S ribosomal RNA". It matches the Rfam family "Bacterial small subunit ribosomal RNA", at positions 338 to 795 of the family's 1533-position model. The record is from RNAcentral. Lineage: Bacteria; Pseudomonadati; Pseudomonadota; Gammaproteobacteria; Oceanospirillales; Halomonadaceae.
CCUACGGGGGCUGCAGUGGGGAAUAUUGGACAAUGGGCGAAAGCCUGAUCCAGCCAUGCCGCGUGUGUGAAGAAGGCCUUCGGGUUGUAAAGCACUUUCAGUGGGGAAGAAAGCCUUGGGGCUAAUACCCUCGAGGAAGGACAUCACCCACAGAAGAAGCACCGGCUAACUCCGUGCCAGCAGCCGCGGUAAUACGGAGGGUGCGAGCGUUAAUCGGAAUUACUGGGCGUAAAGCGCGCGUAGGCGGUCUGAUAAGCCGGUUGUGAAAGCCCCGGGCUCAACAUGGGAACGGCAUCCGGAACUGUCAGGCUAGAGUGCAGGAGAGGAAGGUAGAAUUCCCGGUGUAGCGGUGAAAUGCGUAGAGAUCGGGAGGAAUACCAGUGGCGAAGGCGGCCUUCUGGACUGACACUGACGCUGAGGUGCGAAAGCGUGGGUAGCAAACAGGAUUAGAUACCCGAGUAGUC